UGAGGAAUAUUGGUCAAUGGGCGAGAGCCUGAACCAGCCAAGUAGCGUGCAGGAUGACGGCCCUAUGGGUUGUAAACUGCUUUUAUAUGGGAAUAAAGUGAGGGACGUGUCCCUUAUUGCAUGUACCAGACGAAUAAGGACCGGCUAAUUCCGUGCCAGCAGCCGCGGUAAUACGGAAGGUCCAGGCGUUAUCCGGAUUUACUGGGCGUAAAGGGUGCGUAGGUGGUCUUUCAAGUCGGUGGUUAAAGGCUACGGCUCAACCGUAGUUAGCCUCCGAAACUGGAAGACUUGAGUGCAGGAGAGGAAAGUGGAAUUCCCAGUGUAGCGGUGAAAUGCGUAGAUAUUGGGAGGAACACCAGUAGCGAAGGCGGCUUUCUGGACUGCAACUGACACUGAGGCACGAAAGCGUGGGUAGCAAACAGG
This 423-nucleotide ribosomal RNA is filed under the name Verrucomicrobiota bacterium. RNAcentral's name for it is "Verrucomicrobia bacterium partial 16S ribosomal RNA". It matches the Rfam family "Bacterial small subunit ribosomal RNA", at positions 355 to 776 of the family's 1533-position model. The record is from RNAcentral. Lineage: Bacteria; Pseudomonadati; Verrucomicrobiota.